GAUCGUAAAGCUCUGUCCUAAGGGAAGAUAGUGACGGUACCUUAGGAGGAAGCCCCGGCUAACUACGUGCCAGCAGCCGCGGUAACACGUAGGGGGCGAGCGUUGUCCGGAAUUACUGGGUGUAAAGGGUGCGUAGGCGGCCUUGCAAGUCAGAUGUGAAAGAUCACGGCUUAACUGUGGUAAGCAUUUGAAACUGUAAGGCUUGAGUGCAGGAGAGGAGAGUGGAAUUCCUAGUGUAGCGGUGAAAUGCGUAGAUAUUAGGAAGAAUAUCAGUGGCGAAGGCGGCUCUCUGGACUGCAACUGACGCUGAGGCACGAAAGCGUGGGGAGCAAACAGGAUUAGAUACCCUGGUAGUCCACGCUGUAAACGAUGAGUGCUAGGUGUCGGGGGUCAUACCUCGGUGCCGCAGUUAACGCAUUAAGCACUCCACCUGGGGAGUACGGCCGCAAGGCUGAAACUCAAAGGAAUUGACGG
RNAcentral lists this ribosomal RNA (474 nucleotides) under uncultured bacterium. Its description in RNAcentral is "bacterial SSU rRNA". It matches the Rfam family "Bacterial small subunit ribosomal RNA", at positions 421 to 916 of the family's 1533-position model. The record is from RNAcentral.